This 519-nucleotide ribosomal RNA is filed under the name Diplommatina canaliculata. RNAcentral describes it as "partial large subunit ribosomal RNA". It matches the Rfam family "Bacterial large subunit ribosomal RNA", at positions 1819 to 2611 of the family's 2925-position model. Lineage: Eukaryota; Metazoa; Mollusca; Gastropoda; Architaenioglossa; Diplommatinidae. The record is from RNAcentral.
GGCUCUUUGAUUAGAUAAAGAGUUUGAUCUGCCCGGUGAUGAAAGUUUAACGGCUGCGGUAUCCUGCCGUGCGAAGGUAGCAUAAUAAUUUGUCUUAUAAUUGAAGAAUGGAAUGAAUGAUUUGACUAGGAUAUAGCUGUCUUUUAUAUAUUUAUUAUAAGUUGACUUUUAGGUUAAAAGGCCUAAAUAAAAUUAAAGGACGAGAAGACCCUGUUGUGCUUUAUAAUGGGUGUGUUAAAGAUUAUAUAUAUUGAAAAAAUAAUAAGAUUAAUGCUGAGUUUUUAGUUGGGGCGACUUAGGAACAAUAAAAACUUCCUGUAGAAUAAGUAAAUGUUGUUUAUUAAUCCAAGAAUUUUGAAUUAAGAAUAAGUUACCACAGGGAUAACAGCGUUAUUUUUUUGGAGAGUUCUAAUCGAGAAAAAAGUUUGCGACCUCGAUGUUGGAUUAGGAGAUAAUAAGGGUUGUAGGGGCUCUUAUGUUUAGUCUGUUCGACUAUUAAAAUCCUACGUGAUCUGAGUU